GGCAAAGAUGAGGAUUGCUUUACGUUCUGACACCUCUUGUAUGAGAAGAGCUUUUCGGCUCUUCUUUGAGCACUGAUAGCAACUCUCUGAGCC
Molecule: small nucleolar RNA, 93 nt
Organism: Mangifera indica (mango)
Lineage: Eukaryota; Viridiplantae; Streptophyta; Magnoliopsida; Sapindales; Anacardiaceae
Product: small nucleolar RNA snoR1
Exons: 1
Source: RefSeq, a predicted model, not a curated record